CUAUACAAUUUACUGCCUUCC
Molecule: microRNA, 21 nt
Filed under: Danio rerio (zebrafish)
Lineage: Eukaryota; Metazoa; Chordata; Actinopteri; Cypriniformes; Danionidae
Description: Dre-Let-7-P2b3a_3p* (star (passenger))
Source: RNAcentral